Long non-coding RNA from Prionailurus viverrinus (fishing cat), 392 nucleotides. RefSeq lists it as uncharacterized. NCBI's taxonomy places the organism in Eukaryota, Metazoa, Chordata, Mammalia, Carnivora, Felidae. The record is from RefSeq and is a predicted model, not a curated record. The transcript is spliced from 3 exons.
AGAUGGUCGAUAGUGUUGCACAGAGAAUAUAGGGCUGCUGUCCUUCCCCAGUGGCUUCAUGUCUCUUAUUUCGAGAAAGAUAUGGGUAUGGUCUCACACCUUUCCUCCAGCCAUGUCUGCUCCCCUCUUCCGGCCCUGAACCAUGGAGGAAGGUUUUCUCUGGUCUCCCACCUUGCCCCAAAUCAUCCAUGAAGGCCUAGUGGAGCUUUAUGGAGAGGAGCUUCUGAAUCGUGGCAGCUCCCUUACGUCUGCAACUCCCAGGGGAUCUGUGGGCUCGUGCCGGUCACACUUGGCAAACACCAACCCCCAAACUAACUUGCUCACAAACCGAAGGCAAGCCCUGUUGUCGUACAUGGUUUUUUGCACAAGACUUAAGAAGAGAUCGUUUUCUG